RNAcentral lists this ribosomal RNA (2853 nucleotides) under Triticum aestivum (bread wheat). RNAcentral describes it as "partial small subunit ribosomal RNA". The record is from RNAcentral. Lineage: Eukaryota; Viridiplantae; Streptophyta; Magnoliopsida; Poales; Poaceae.
AUGGCCUCCAUACCCAUUAACGAGGUAGCUACAGAAGCAUCAUCCACCGAGCGUCUGGAGAGCCAGAGCCAGGGCAGUGGUAAUGGCAGCUCUGCAGGCGCCGACCCAAAACUGUACGAGUUCAAGGAGCAGCUCCUGCUGCUGGCGACUCUGGUUGCGACGGUGACCUACGUCGCAGGGCUGAACCUGCCAGGGGGAUCCUGGCAACAGGAUGGCUCAGGGGGUUACAUCGUGGGCGACCCGAUCCUCCGGGAUACGCACUACCGCCGGUAUCUCGCCUUCUACUACUGCAACGCCACCGCGCUGGCGACAUCACUCGUCAUCUCCCUCAUCCUCAUCAUUCUGCCUAGGAAAAGCACAUCCUGGACGGUGGUGUUGCGGGCCGUGAUGGCGCUCGACCUACUUGGCCUCAUGGGGGCCUAUGGCGCUGGGAGUAGCCGGGAUACAUUCACCACCGUCUACUCGGGGGUGGCCUUCUCCUUUCUGGUAUAUGUCAUCCUCGCUGUCUUCUUCUCCUACCUCUGGCUUAUGGCCAGGAACAGGGCCAACAACAAUGGUGAUGAUAAUUCCCGCUCCGACCCCAUUCCCGUCAAUGGUUACAAUAAUGAAAUCAUCUUUGACCCCAUUCCCAUCCUCACCAAUGAUGAUGGUAAUGAAAUCCAAUCCGACUCCAACCCCAUCCCCACCAUUGGUUUUGAUAAUGAAAUCAACUCUGACCCCACCUCCACCCCCAUCCUCACCAAUGGGGUUGAGAAUGAAAUCCAACCCGACUCCAUCCACAUCCCCACCAAUGGUGUUCAGAAUGAAAUCCAAUCCAACUCCAUCCGCAUCCCCGCCAAUGGUAAUGGUACUGGUGCCCAAUCCAACUCACCCUCCAGGAAGCAUGACAAAGAGAAGAUCGACUUGUUGAUGCUACUCGCAACCUUCGUGGUCACCAUUACAUAUGUGGCCGGGCUUAGCCCGCCUGGUGGGUUCUGGAGUAGCACCCAGGAUGGCCACCGUCCGAGUGAUCCAGUGUUACAAGCACGUGGGAGGUUCCGUGCUUUCUUCAUUUGCAACACCACCUCGUUUGUUGCAUCCCUGCUCAUCAUCGUGUUGCUCCUGGAGAAGAAGCUGAGCAAGACCAUCUCGGUACGGUUCGUGGCACUCUAUGGGUUGAUCGCCGUCGCUCUACUAGGCCUCAUGGGGGCAUAUGCUGCUGGGAGCUGCAGGGAGGCUGACAACACCAUCUUUGUCCUUACCCUCACCACUGCGGUUCCUGUCUGCGUAUGCCUCCAGCUGUUGAUUACUUACACCAUUGGUUGGAAACGAUGUGCGAAUGUGCAUAGUUCUGUCUUAGCAUGGUUCAAGAAGCAUGUCAGCAUUCCUCGAGGCACCAGCAGACGCAGGGACAUCCUACACGAAGAAAACACUCGCUAUCUUGUUAUGCUCCUUGCUACUCUUGUUGUGACCAUUACCUACCAAGCUGGACUUGAUCCACCAGGCGGCCUCUGGGAAGACGAUCAUGAUGGGCAUAAGAUAGGCCAUCCAGUGCUCCAACUGACACAUCCAACUCGUUAUAGAGUGUUCUUCUACAGUAAUUCGGCAACUUUCGUCACAUCCUUGGUCGUCAUCAUGAUGCUCCAGAGCAGGUUUUUGCUCAAGCGACACACACUUGAAGCAGCUCUGGUGCUGGACCUUUUUGGCCUCAUCACUGCCUAUGGCGCUGGGAGCACCAGGGAUGUAAAGACAUCCAUCUACAUUGUUGCCUUGGCGGGGCUUGUCCUCGUCUACGUCAUCGUCCAUAUCACCAUAAGAGACCAUGAUCCUGAGCCGGCGGAUGAUGCCGCAGUGAAAGAUUUGGAUAGCAAGCGCAAGUUGCUACUUCUGGCUGCCAUCUUGGCUGCUACUCUCACGUACCAGGCAGGUCUCACCCCACCUGGUGGCUUCUGGUCAUCAGAUGAUGAGGGGCUCGGACGUCGUUCGGGCUUCCCGGUACUCCUCGACAAUUACCCUCGACGUUACGAAGCAUUCUUUUACUGCAACUCAUUGAGCUUCAUGGCAUCCGUAACCCUAAUCCUUCUUCUCGUAAAUCCGAAGCUAUAUAGGCCAGGCAUACGUUGUUAUGCGCUCUAUGUGUGCAUGGUUGUUGGCAUGUUUGGCCUUAUGGGUGCCUAUGCUGCUGGAAGCUCGCGCCAUCUCAAGACCUCCCUCUAUGUAUUAACCUUGGUUGGUGCAGUGUUAGCCUUCAUAGCCUCACAGGUAGCAAUUUUCUGGAUCAUCCGUCAUAACCAAGCUGGUUCACCACAAGCAGAUCUACCAGAUAGGCAACUCAGACAAGGUGAAGAUGGAGAAGCAGAUGAUAACAGCAACAAAGAGAAAUAUAUGCUUGAAUACUUGAUGUUGCUAGGAAUCCUGGCAGCAAGUAUGACAUACCAGACUGGUUUAAAACCACCAGGCGGCCUGUGGCAAGACAACGACAAUGGACACUCUGCUGGCAACCCCAUCCUCCACGACAUUAACAAGCACCGGUACUACGCUUUCUUUUACAGCAACUCCACUUCCUUCAUGGCCUCGAUCGUGGUAGUCGUCAUGCUGCUUCCAUUGACAACAUUUCACAAUCACAAUCUGCCACUAUGGCCAAUGCAUACGGCCAUUCUACUGGAUAUGUUUAGCCUCCUUGUGGCCUAUGCAGCAGCCAGUAAUAGAAAGUGGGAAACCUCCAGAAACGUCAUCCUUCUUAUCAUCCCAGUGCUGGCCUACAUUGCAGUCUAUGCAACAAUGUCAGUCUUCUACCAUAGGAAAGACCAAAGUGCUAGCAAUGAGAAUACCAAUACCAACGCCACUGUUACAGUGACCGAAACCACACCAUGA